Molecule: ribosomal RNA, 253 nt
Filed under: uncultured bacterium
Lineage: Bacteria
Description: partial 16S ribosomal RNA
Rfam family: Bacterial small subunit ribosomal RNA
Source: RNAcentral
UACGAAGGGUGCAAGCGUUGUUCGGAAUUACUGGGCGUAAAGCGUGCGUAGGCGGUUUGAUAAGUUGGGAGUGAAAUCCCGGGGCUUAACUCCGGAAUUGCUUUCAAAACUAUCAAUCUAGAAUAUGGUAGGGGACAGUGGAAUUCCUAGUGUAGAGGUGAAAUUCGUAGAUAUUAGGAGGAACACCAGUGGCGAAAGCGACUGUCUGGGCCAUUAUUGACGCUGAGGCACGAAAGCGUGGGGAGCAAACAGG